RNAcentral lists this ribosomal RNA (497 nucleotides) under uncultured bacterium. RNAcentral describes it as "partial 16S ribosomal RNA". It matches the Rfam family "Bacterial small subunit ribosomal RNA", at positions 28 to 507 of the family's 1533-position model. The record is from RNAcentral.
GACGAACGCUGGCGGCGUGCCUAAUACAUGCAAGAAGAACGCUGAAGAGAGGAGCUUGCUCUUCUUGGAUGAGUUGCGAACGGGUGAGUAACGCGUAGGUAACCUGCCUUGUAGCGGGGGAUAACUAUUGGAAACGAUAGCUAAUACCGCAUAACAAUGGAUGACACAUGUCAUUUAUUUGAAAGGGGCAAUUGCUCCACUACAAGAUGGACCUGCGUUGUAUUAGCUAGUAGGUGAGGUAAUGGCUCACCUAGGCGACGAUACAUAGCCGACCUGAGAGGGUGAUCGGCCACACUGGGACUGAGACACGGCCCAGACUCCUACGGGAGGCAGCAGUAGGGAAUCUUCGGCAAUGGGGGCAACCCUGACCGAGCAACGCCGCGGGAGUGAAGAAGGUUUUCGGAUCGUAAAGCUCUGUUGUAAGUCAAGAACGGGUGUGAGAGUGGAAAGUUCACACUGUGACGGUAGCUUACCAGAAAGGGACGGCUAACUACGUG